Molecule: non-coding RNA, 24 nt
Filed under: Arabidopsis thaliana (thale cress)
Lineage: Eukaryota; Viridiplantae; Streptophyta; Magnoliopsida; Brassicales; Brassicaceae
Source: RNAcentral
ACACAGAUUUCGGACCUCGUUUCC